Molecule: non-coding RNA, 45 nt
Organism: Schistosoma margrebowiei
Lineage: Eukaryota; Metazoa; Platyhelminthes; Trematoda; Strigeidida; Schistosomatidae
Source: Rfam
AUCGAGCUGACGAAUCCAAAAUAGGACGAAGAGCGCGUCCUGGAU